GGUUAAGCGACUAAGCGUACACGGUGGAUGCCCUGGCAGUCAGAGGCGAUGAAGGACGUGCUAAUCUGCGAAAAGCGCCGGCGAGGUGAUAUGAACCCUUGACCCGGCGAUGUCCGAAUGGGGAAACCCAGUGUGUUCCGACACACUAUCGUUAACUGAAUACAUAGGUUAACGAGGCGAACCGGGGGAACUGAAACAUCUAAGUACCCCGAGGAAAAGAAAUCAACCGAGAUUCCCCCAGUAGCGGCGAGCGAACGGGGAGCAGCCCGGAGUCUGAAUCAGCUUGUGUGUUAGUGGAACGGUCUGGAAAGUCCGACGGUACAGGGUGAUAGUCCCGUACACGAAAAUGCACAGGUUGUGAACUCGAAGAGUAGGGCGGGACACGUGGUAUCCUGUCUGAAUAUGGGGGGACCAUCCUCCAAGGCUAAAUACUCCUGACUGACCGAUAGUGAACCAGUACCGUGAGGGAAAGGCGAAAAGAACCCCGGCGAGGGGAGUGAAAAAGAACCUGAAACCGUGUACGUACAAGCAGUGGGAGCACCUUCGGGUGUGACUGCGUACCUUUUGUAUAAUGGGUCAGCGACUUAUAUUCUGUAGCAAGGUUAACCGUAUAGGGGAGCCGAAGGGAAACCGAGUCUUAACUGGGCGUUAAGUUGCAGGGUAUAGACCCGAAACCCGGUGAUCUAGCCAUGGGCAGGUUGAAGGUUGGGUAACACUAACUGGAGGACCGAACCGACUAAUGUUGAAAAAUUAGCGGAUGACCUGUGGCUGGGGGUGAAAGGCCAAUCAAACCGGGAGAUAGCUGGUUCUCCCCGAAAGCUAUUUAGGUAGCGCCUCGUGAACUCAUCUUCGGGGGUAGAGCACUGUUUCGGCUAGGGGGCCAUCCCGGCUUACCAACCCGAUGCAAACUACGAAUACCGAAGAAUGUUAUCACGGGAGACACACGGCGGGUGCUAACGUCCGUCGUGAAGAGGGAAACAACCCAGACCGCCAGCUAAGGUCCCAAAGUCAUGGUUAAGUGGGAAACGAUGUGGGAAGGCACAGACAGCCAGGAUGUUGGCUUAGAAGCAGCCAUCAUUUAAAGAAAGCGUAAUAGCUCACUGGUCGAGUCGGCCUGCGCGGAAGAUGUAACGGGGCUAAACCAUGCACCGAAGCUGCGGCAGCGACGCUUAUGCGUUGUUGGGUAGGGGAGCGUUCUGUAAGCCGUUGAAGGUGUGCUGUGAGGCAUGCUGGAGGUAUCAGAAGUGCGAAUGCUGACAUAAGUAACGAUAAAGCGGGUGAAAAGCCCGCUCGCCGGAAGACCAAGGGUUCCUGUCCAACGUUAAUCGGGGCAGGGUGAGUCGACCCCUAAGGCGAGGCCGAAAGGCGUAGUCGAUGGGAAACAGGUUAAUAUUCCUGUACUUGGUGUUACUGCGAAGGGGGGACGGAGAAGGCUAUGUCAGCCGGGCGACGGUUGUCCCGGUUUAAGCAUGUAGGCGGAGGUUCCAGGUAAAUCCGGUACCUUUUAACGCUGAGGUGUGAUGACGAGGCACUACGGUGCUGAAGUGAUAAAUGCCCUGCUUCCAGGAAAAGCCUCUAAGCAUCAGGUAACACGAAAUCGUACCCCAAACCGACACAGGUGGUCAGGUAGAGAAUACCAAGGCGCUUGAGAGAACUCGGGUGAAGGAACUAGGCAAAAUGGUGCCGUAACUUCGGGAGAAGGCACGCUGAUAUGUAGGUGAAGCCCCUGCGGGCGGAGCUGAAAUCAGUCGAAGAUACCAGCUGGCUGCAACUGUUUAUUAAAAACACAGCACUGUGCAAACACGAAAGUGGACGUAUACGGUGUGACGCCUGCCCGGUGCCGGAAGGUUAAUUGAUGGGGUUAGCGGCAACGCGAAGCUCUUGAUCGAAGCCCCGGUAAACGGCGGCCGUAACUAUAACGGUCCUAAGGUAGCGAAAUUCCUUGUCGGGUAAGUUCCGACCUGCACGAAUGGCGUAAUGAUGGCCAGGCUGUCUCCACCCGAGACUCAGUGAAAUUGAACUCGCUGUGAAGAUGCAGUGUACCCGCGGCAAGACGGAAAGACCCCGUGAACCUUUACUAUAGCUUGACACUGAACACUGGUCCUUGAUGUGUAGGAUAGGUGGGAGGCUUUGAAGCGUGGACGCCAGUCUGCGUGGAGCCGCCCUUGAAAUACCACCCUUUAAUGGCUGGUGUUCUAACGUAGACCCGUGAUCCGGGUUGCGGACAGUGUCUGGUGGGUAGUUUGACUGGGGCGGUCUCCUCCCAAAGAGUAACGGAGGAGCACGAAGGUUGGCUAAUCCUGGUCGGACAUCAGGAGGUUAGUGCAAUGGCAUAAGCCAGCUUGACUGCGAGCGUGACGGCGCGAGCAGGUGCGAAAGCAGGUCAUAGUGAUCCGGUGGUUCUGAAUGGAAGGGCCAUCGCUCAACGGAUAAAAGGUACUCCGGGGAUAACAGGCUGAUACCGCCCAAGAGUUCAUAUCGACGGCGGUGUUUGGCACCUCGAUGUCGGCUCAUCACAUCCUGGGGCUGAAGUAGGUCCCAAGGGUAUGGCUGUUCGCCAUUUAAAGUGGUACGCGAGCUGGGUUUAGAACGUCGUGAGACAGUUCGGUCCCUAUCUGCCGUGGGCGCUGGAGAAUUGAGGGGGGCUGCUCCUAGUACGAGAGGACCGGAGUGGACGCAUCACUGGUGUUCGGGUUGUCAUGCCAAUGGCACUGCCCGGUAGCUAAAUGCGGAAGAGAUAAGUGCUGAAAGCAUCUAAGCACGAAACUUGCCCCGAGAUGAGUUCUCCCUGAGACCUUGAGUCUCCUGAAGGAACGUUAAAGACGAUGACGUUGAUAGGUCGGGUGUGUAAGCGCAGCGAUGCGUUGAGCUAACCGAUACUAAUGAACCGUGAGGCUUAACCUU
RNAcentral lists this ribosomal RNA (2904 nucleotides) under Enterobacter cloacae. Its description in RNAcentral is "23S ribosomal RNA". It matches the Rfam family "Bacterial large subunit ribosomal RNA". The record is from RNAcentral. RNAcentral also lists the same sequence under 1 other name. Lineage: Bacteria; Pseudomonadati; Pseudomonadota; Gammaproteobacteria; Enterobacterales; Enterobacteriaceae.